UUCCUGGUGGCUCAGUGGUAAAGACUCUGCCUGCAAUGCAGGAAACCCAGGUUCAAUCCCUGGGUUGGGAA
This 71-nucleotide transfer RNA is filed under the name Bos taurus (domestic cattle). It matches the Rfam family "tRNA". From Rfam's summary of the family: Transfer RNA (tRNA) molecules are approximately 80 nucleotides in length. Their secondary structure includes four short double-helical elements and three loops (D, anti-codon, and T loops). RNAcentral also lists the same sequence under 3 other names. Lineage: Eukaryota; Metazoa; Chordata; Mammalia; Artiodactyla; Bovidae. The record is from Rfam by way of RNAcentral.